Molecule: ribosomal RNA, 647 nt
Filed under: uncultured bacterium
Lineage: Bacteria
Description: bacterial SSU rRNA
Rfam family: Bacterial small subunit ribosomal RNA
Source: RNAcentral
CGCGGCCUAUCAGCUUGUUGGUGGGGUAGUGGCCUACCAAGGCGACGACGGGUAGCCGGCCUGAGAGGGUGACCGGCCACACUGGGACUGAGACACGGCCCAGACUCCUACGGGAGGCAGCAGUGGGGAAUAUUGCGCAAUGGGCGGAAGCCUGACGCAGCGACGCCGCGUGGGGGAUGACGGCCUUCGGGUUGUAAACCUCUUUCAGCAGGGACGAAGCCUUUAGGGGUGACGGUACCUGCAGAAGAAGCACCGGCCAACUACGUGCCAGCAGCCGCGGUAAUACGUAGGGUGCAAGCGUUGUCCGGAAUUAUUGGGCGUAAAGAGCUCGUAGGCGGUUUGUCGCGUCGGCUGUGAAAACCCGGAGCUCAACUCCGGGCCUGCAGUCGAUACGGGCAGACUUGAGUAUUGCAGGGGAGACUGGAAUUCCUGGUGUAGCGGUGAAAUGCGCAGAUAUCAGGAGGAACACCGGUGGCGAAGGCGGGUCUCUGGGCAAUAACUGACGCUGAGGAGCGAAAGCGUGGGGAGCGAACAGGAUUAGAUACCCUGGUAGUCCACGCCGUAAACGUUGGGCGCUAGGUGUGGGGGCCAUUCCACGGUCUCCGUGCCGCAGCUAACGCAUUAAGCGCCCCGCCUGGGGAGUACGG